Molecule: ribosomal RNA, 440 nt
Filed under: uncultured bacterium
Lineage: Bacteria
Description: partial 16S ribosomal RNA
Rfam family: Bacterial small subunit ribosomal RNA
Source: RNAcentral
CCUACGGGAGGCAGCAGUGGGGAAUAUUGCACAAUGGGGGAAACCCUGAUGCAGCGACGCCGCGUGAGUGAAGACGUAAUUCGUUAUGUUAAGCUCUUUCUGUAGGGAAGAAAAUGACGGUACCUGAGUAAGAUGCCCCGGCUAACUACGUGCCAGCAGCCGUGGUAAUACGCCGGGGGCAGGCGUUAUCCGGAUUUAAUGGGCGUAAAGGGAGUGUAGACGGGAGUGCAAGACUGGAGUGAAAGGCGGGGGCUCAACCCCCGGAGUGCCCUGGAAACUGUACGGCUGGAGUGCAGGAGAGGUAAGUGGAAUUCCUAGUGUAGCGGUGAAAUGCGUAGAUAUUAGGAAGAACACCAGUGGCGAAGGCGGCUUACUGGACUGAAACUGACGUUGAGGCUCGAAAGCGUGGGGAGCAAACAGGAUUAGAUACCCCAGUAGUC